GCUACCAACCGGGUCAUCGCUCGCGCCGCAAGGCGGGGGAGGAAAGUCCGGACAGCGCAGGGCAAUGCACCGGUUAAGAGCCGGGGGGCGCGGAAGCGUUCACAGAGAGUGCCACAGAAAAUAACUGCCGAAUUAUCGUUGUGGCAGCCGGGUUCGCCUGGGAGCCUACGGUAAGGUAAAGUUGAAAACGUGGGGUAAGAGCCCACGGCCCCGUCAAGUAAUUGCCGGGGCGGGUAAACCUUGCAUGCUGUAAUGCCAUGUAGGUUCCGGUUUCCCGGUCGGACAGCCUCGUGCUGAACGGUCGGGAAGGUUAGCUGCCCGCUAGCAACGUCCGGGACGGGUAGGCAGCCAGAUCUCUGCAGUAAUGCAGGGGCCAGAUAAAUGAUGACCGCCCGCCGCGCAAGCGGCGGGAACAGGAUCCGGCUUACAGGUUGGUAGUAAUU
RNAcentral lists this RNase P RNA (443 nucleotides) under Bacteroidota bacterium. RNAcentral's name for it is "RNase P RNA component class A". It matches the Rfam family "Bacterial RNase P class A". From Rfam's summary of the family: Ribonuclease P (RNase P) is a ubiquitous endoribonuclease, found in archaea, bacteria and eukarya as well as chloroplasts and mitochondria. The record is from RNAcentral. Lineage: Bacteria; Pseudomonadati; Bacteroidota.